RNAcentral lists this ribosomal RNA (274 nucleotides) under uncultured bacterium. RNAcentral describes it as "partial 16S ribosomal RNA". It matches the Rfam family "Bacterial small subunit ribosomal RNA", at positions 523 to 796 of the family's 1533-position model. The record is from RNAcentral.
CUACGGAGGGUGCAAGCGUUAUUCGGAAUCACUGGGCGUAAAGGACGCGUAGGCGGGUUGGCAAGUCAGAUGUGAAAUCCUACAGCUUAACUGUAGAACUGCAUUUGAAACUGCUAACCUAGAGUAUGGGAGGGGGAGAUGGAAUUAGUGGUGUAGGGGUAAAAUCCGUAGAUAUCACUAGGAAUACCGAAAGCGAAGGCGAUCUCCUGGAACAUAACUGACGCUAAGGCGUGAAAGCGUGGGGAGCAAACAGGAGUAGAAACCCUAGUAGUCC